UAGGGAAUCUUCCGCAAUGGACGCAAGUCUGACGGAGCAACGCCGCGUGAGUGAAGAAGGAUUUCGGUUCGUAAAACUCUGUUGUUAGAGAAGAACAGCGCAUAGAGUAACUGUUAUGCGUGUGACGGUAUCUAACCAGAAAGCCACGGCUAACUACGUGCCAGCAGCCGCGGUAAUACGUAGGUGGCAAGCGUUAUCCGGAAUUAUUGGGCGUAAAGCGCGCGUAGGCGGUUUUUUAAGUCUGAUGUGAAAGCCCCCGGCUCAACCGGGGAGGGUCAUUGGAAACUGGUUGACUUGAGUGCAGAAGAGGAGAGUGGAAUUCCAUGUGUAGCGGUGAAAUGCGUAGAUAUAUGGAGGAACACCAGUGGCGAAGGCGACUCUCUGGUCUGUAACUGACGCUGAGGCUCGAAAGCGUGGGGAGCGAACAGG
RNAcentral lists this ribosomal RNA (429 nucleotides) under Bacteroidota bacterium. RNAcentral's name for it is "Bacteroidetes bacterium partial 16S ribosomal RNA". It matches the Rfam family "Bacterial small subunit ribosomal RNA", at positions 355 to 776 of the family's 1533-position model. Lineage: Bacteria; Pseudomonadati; Bacteroidota. The record is from RNAcentral.